Non-coding RNA from Myotis brandtii (Brandt's bat), 74 nucleotides. The record is from Rfam. Lineage: Eukaryota; Metazoa; Chordata; Mammalia; Chiroptera; Vespertilionidae.
GGCGGUUCUCGGGUGACGCACCCCGGAAUCAAGUUCCUUCCUCUCUGGUUCCAGUGCGUCACCCGAGAACCGCA